AUUGAACGCUGGCGGCAGGCCUAACACAUGCAAGUCGAACGGUAACAGGAAACAGCUUGCUGUUUCGCUGACGAGUGGCGGACGGGUGAGUAAUGUCUGGGAAACUGCCUGAUGGAGGGGGAUAACUACUGGAAACGGUAGCUACUACCGCAUAACGUCGCAAGCCCAAAGAGGGGGACCCUCGGGCCUCUUGCCAUCGGAUGUGCCCAGGUGGGCGUAGCUUGUUGGUGGGGUAACGGCUCACCAAGGCGACGAUCCGUAGCUGGUCUGAGAGGAUGGCCAGCCACACUGGAACGGAGACACGGUCCAGACUCCUACGGGAGGCAGCAGUGGGGAAUAUUGCACAAUGGGCGCAAGCCUGAUGCAGCCAUGCCGCGUGUAUGAAGAAGGCCUUCGGGUUGUAAAGUACGUUCAGCGGGGAGGAAGGGAGUAAAGUUAAUACCUUGGCUCAUUGACGUUACCCGCAGAAGAAGCACCGGCUAACUCCGUG
RNAcentral lists this ribosomal RNA (490 nucleotides) under uncultured bacterium. RNAcentral's name for it is "partial 16S ribosomal RNA". It matches the Rfam family "Bacterial small subunit ribosomal RNA", at positions 30 to 507 of the family's 1533-position model. The record is from RNAcentral.